CGCGUUGAUAGGCCGGGUGUGUAAGCGCAGCGAUGCGUUGAGCUAACCGGUACUAAUGAACCGUGAGGCUUAACCUUACAACGCCGAAG
RNAcentral lists this ribosomal RNA (89 nucleotides) under Klebsiella pneumoniae. RNAcentral's name for it is "partial 23S ribosomal RNA". The stretch from base 1 to 77 matches the Rfam family "Bacterial large subunit ribosomal RNA", at positions 2849 to 2925 of the family's 2925-position model. Lineage: Bacteria; Pseudomonadati; Pseudomonadota; Gammaproteobacteria; Enterobacterales; Enterobacteriaceae. The record is from RNAcentral. RNAcentral also lists the same sequence under 1 other name.